Non-coding RNA from Desmophyllum pertusum, 73 nucleotides. NCBI's taxonomy places the organism in Eukaryota, Metazoa, Cnidaria, Anthozoa, Scleractinia, Caryophylliidae. The record is from the annotation of a GenBank genome assembly.
GUCUCCUGUAGUUAAGUGGUAGAGCGUCCGACCGGUGUGCGGAAGGUCAUAGGUUCAACUCCUGUCAGUGUCC